ACGGAGGGUGCAAGCGUUAUCCGGAUUCAUUGGGUUUAAAGGGUGCGUAGGCGGUAUAUUAAGUCAGUGGUGAAACUAUCGAGCUCAACUCGAUACCUGCCAUUGAUACUGAUAGACUUGAGUAGUAUCGACGCGGGAGGAAUGCGACAAGUAGCGGUGAAAUGCUUAGAUAUGUCGCAGAACACCGAUAGCGAAGGCAUCUCGCGAGGUAUUUACUGACGCUGAGGCACGAAAGCGUGGGGAUCAAACAG
RNAcentral lists this ribosomal RNA (251 nucleotides) under uncultured prokaryote. RNAcentral's name for it is "partial 16S rRNA". It matches the Rfam family "Bacterial small subunit ribosomal RNA", at positions 525 to 775 of the family's 1533-position model. The record is from RNAcentral.